AAUUUUUUAAUCAGGCAUGUGGUAGUUAUACAUAUUUGUACACAAAAAUAGCUAAAACAACACAUUUUAGUGACCAAAUGAACCUCUAUACACAGACAGAUGUACUACACAUUUAACUCUUUCUAUCGCAUUGUCUAAUUUACUAUUGUCAUAGUUAAUAAGCACAAUUUUCAUCUAUAAUUGUUUACUAAUUUAAACAUUGCCAAUACUUAAAGGAAUUCAUCUAAAUAAAAUUCUCUUCAAAAAAAGUUAACCAAAAUGAGAUUGUUUUAUAACUUUAAUUUCUUAUGCCGUAAAAUGUUGACAAAUAUGCGGCUUAAAGAAACUAAACUAACUUUCAUCUUGUUCAAUAAUACUCCAACUCAUUUGCAUAAAUCUAUUUACUUAUGCAUAGUAUUGUUUUAAGAUGGUACCCAACACUUUCACUAAAAUAAAUUUGGCUCGUUUAAUUUUCCUAAAAUUUUGACAAAGCAUUUACUUUGACCCUUAAAAAAAAUAUAAACAUUUCAAAAAAUUUGAACCAACCGUUUUGUCAGAAAAAAUACACUGGUUAUAUAGUAGUUUGACAAAAGCCAAUUUUGAUCAUUGAGAAGCUUAAUAUUUCCUUUACAACACAACGUAAUUAAACGUUAAGCUGAUAGUUAUCUCCCUUAGUGUUUUAAACAAAUAUUCAUAAUACUUUCCUCCUCAGUUAAGUUACUGAAAUAGCUAUGGCUCUUAGUGAUUUGUUAAGUAAUCAAAAGAUUUUAAACAAUAUGUUUUUCUUUCUGUGAAUGAAGUUAUUAAAGGUUAUGUAUGUGGUCCUCAAAAUUUCAAACUGACCAAAAUAAUUUGUAUAUCUUAUCAGAGAAUAAAUAUACAAGAACACUGGUCACUGUGUAAUGUCCAAUCUGAAAUAAAUUAAUGACUAACAAAAUCUUACACUAGUAUAAAAACAACUUUAUAUACAAGGGUUAUGACAGAAACAAAGGAUUAAUUCAUUUUGAAAUAUUUGUAAAAUUUACAAGCCCUUUUGUGAUUUAUAUCUGUACCAUAAAUACAUAUAUACAAAAAGAAAAGAUGUUGGGAUCUCAUAAUAGCAAAAAAAUAUCAAUUAAAAUUAUUUCCCAUGGUUCACACACAAAUAAAUCAUGAUACCCCCUUUAAAUGUUACAGAUGGCAACAGUGACUACCUAGUUAAUUUUCUUUUAUAAAAAAAACGUUAGUUGUAUGCUUGUUAAUAAUAAAAUAUAACUAAUUCAAAUGUAUGUAUCUGUACUAGGAUUUUUAAAUGAGAGGAUAUUUUUUUAUUUACAUUGACUUACACCCAAAAUUGUACAUACAUGUAUAUACACUGUACUUUCCACUCAAUUGGUCAAUUCAUUUGAUUUUGCUUUUAGUGCUAUUUAAACAAUUGACAAGUAAUAAACAGUACUUUUUGACAGUUCUUGCAUCAGAUACUUUACAAAUGAAUAUAGUGAUCUUAGCUGUAAUUUUCCAGAUAGGUUUCAAAAACCAGAUUUAAAAAAAAGCUCUUAGGAAAAUUAGAACAGUACUAGUCACUUUAAAGAAAAUUUUGUUACCCCAUGUAUGGUUUUGGUUGUAAGUUUAAAACAAAGAAGGAAUUACACUACAACACGAAAUUUGGCCCCUAAAUAAAGGUACAAAACUUUCUAUCAAAAAUUAUUGCAUUUUGUUCUAUGAUUGCAUAUACAUGUAACACUCUCUGUACACUAGUAUCAAUAAUUGGUUCAGUAUGUAGAAUAUUGAAUUAUAUUCUGCAUAUCACAAAGCGUCAUUUGAAAGGAAAAGAAGGGGUUGCGUACUAUACAUAACUGCAUACUAUACACAGUCAAAUACGGUAAUGAAAGUACUGUACACUUAAUUUUUCAAUAUUAUUCUGAUUGUUUGACAGGAAGUAGAGACUAUCAAUAUAAUUGCACUAAUCAUUUGACCAGUUUAUUAUUAAUAAAGUUAAAAGUCCCAUCACAAAAUUUAGAUAUAUUGAAUCUUUGUAUAUUUUUAGACCUAAAGGAGUAUAUCAGAUAUGCCUUAUCAUGGCCCCCUUUUCUACCUAAAAAUUGAAAUUUGAAUUUAAUGACUAAUAUAACAAUUAAUCAUAGUUUAAAUAAUGACGAGAUAGAACAUGAGUCUAUUUUUGAAAAAUUAACAUAUCAGAGUUUUAUCAUGAUUAUUUAUCGGUAUACAUAAUAGCAUAUACUAAUUUUCAACCAAAUCUUAGACUAAUGAAAACAGGCAAUUUCCUUUCAUUUUCAGAAAUGGAAACUUAACCUUGACAAAAAAUGAUUAAGAGUGUUAAUGUAUAAAAAAAAUUUUGGCUUGCUAACCAACUUCUUUUCCCCAUUACUGGUAUAUUUCUAAGAAUCAGAGGCAAUACUUUGAGAAAAAAAAAUUCCCAUAUAUCUCUUCAGUGCACUUCACAUCUAUAUAAAAAAUUACACACAAAAAGAUGCAUCUACAUGUACAUUAAAAAAUAUGUGUACAUAAUUCUGGCUACAUUUAUUCAAAGACCAGCUUUUCAACUUUUAACAAUUAUUUGGACAUUUGGGUAUAUUGGACUAUAAAUAACAUUAAAAAUGGCUCUCAACAAUGUACUAAAAUGGGCUCUUGUUUAGCAUAAAUAAACAGGUAUAAAAUGUGCAUGGUCAAUAAGUGUAUUUUGCAUAAUAACAACAAAUUAUUUUUAAGUCAUCUUGCAUUUUAUUCUGCAUAUUAACAAUUUACAUAUGUAAAAAGGUGUUCUAACUAAUUCAUAUGAAUGUUGGAAGGCAAAAGGUGGAUUAACACCGUACAAUUUUUAUCCAAUUUUUUACCUAUAAUGUGGUGCACACAAAAAUUACACCAUAUGAACACUAAAAUUGGAUGUCUUAAGGGUAAUCUGAUGGAAAAUGCAUCCUUUCGUCAGAAUACUGUAUAAUUUACCAAGGCGACUAUCAAAUUUGAUGAAAAAUCGUACCGUGCAAUCACAACUUUAUAGCUAAAAAUAUCUAAACUCUUUGAUAUUUCUUAUUGUUUAAGAGCCUAUCCAACCCUUUCGUAUGAAAAUUUCUGUAACAGCCCUUAUCAUUUGUAGCAUAGCACUAUUUCAUAAUGUAAAUUAGAUAAUAAGUCAACUACACAUCUAUAAAAUGAUGCAAAUUCAUAACUGAUUAAAACAUACUCUAUUUGUUCAAAAUACAUAAAGAAACAUAUUUGUUUCACUGAAGGAUCCGCAUACUUUGCUACAUAGUAGUCCUAUUCAUAAAUAUAAAAAAAGAAGAUGUGGUAUGAUUGCCAAUGAGACAACUGUCCACAUUUGACCAAAAUGUUACAGGCAUUAACAACUAUAGGUCACCGUACGGCCUUCAACAAUGAGCAAAGCCCAUACAUAGUCAACUAUAAAAGGCCCCUAAAGCAUACUUUCAUUUUUUUUUCAGUUACGGAUAUGUGCUGAAUGAUAGAUUUCUAAGCAAAUAGAAAAAUUUCUAUAUGAAAACUACCUAUUAAAUUAAUGUUUCACAACUUCACCAGUUCUGAGCAAACAGAAAAAAAUUCUAUGGGAAAACUGCCUAUCAAAUAAUUGUUUCACUUUUUCAGUAUGAA
RNAcentral lists this long non-coding RNA (3582 nucleotides) under Mytilus galloprovincialis (Mediterranean mussel). Lineage: Eukaryota; Metazoa; Mollusca; Bivalvia; Mytilida; Mytilidae. The record is from RNAcentral.